UACGAGGGGGGCAAGCGUUGCUCGGAAUGACUGGGCGUAAAGGGCGCGUAGGCGGAUGGCACAGUCAGAUGUGAAAUUCCCGGGCUUAACCUGGGGGCUGCAUUUGAUACGUGUUGUCUUGAGUUCGGAAGAGGGUCGUGGAAUUCCCAGUGUAGAGGUGAAAUUCGUAGAUAUUGGGAAGAACACCGGUGGCGAAGGCGGCGACCUGGUCCGACACUGACGCUGAGGCGCGAAAGCGUGGGGAGCAAACAGG
Molecule: ribosomal RNA, 253 nt
Filed under: uncultured bacterium
Lineage: Bacteria
Description: partial 16S ribosomal RNA
Rfam family: Bacterial small subunit ribosomal RNA
Source: RNAcentral